This 61-nucleotide transfer RNA is filed under the name Thalassaphorura encarpata. Its description in RNAcentral is "tRNA-Ile". The record is from RNAcentral. Lineage: Eukaryota; Metazoa; Arthropoda; Collembola; Poduromorpha; Onychiuridae.
GGAUAAGUGCCUGAUUAAAGGAUUACUCUGAUAGGGUAAAUUAUGUGUUUCACCUUAUCCU